RNAcentral lists this long non-coding RNA (506 nucleotides) under Anneissia japonica. Its description in RNAcentral is "uncharacterized LOC117121271, transcript variant X2". The record is from RNAcentral. Lineage: Eukaryota; Metazoa; Echinodermata; Crinoidea; Comatulida; Comatulidae.
CAUUCAUUCAUUCAUUCAUUCAUUCAUUCAUUCAUUCAUUCAUUCAUUUGUUCAUUCUAUGCUGUCCGCAGUUCUUGCUGCUUCUUGCGCGUUCCAUAGUUCUCUUGGAAUUUCUGUUUUCGUUGUAGUUUACGCGCUCCUCUGGCACUGCGCAGAGAGACGCAUACUAUUCUUGGCAAGUUCGGUUCAUGUUGUUUUAUGCUGAAGAUAAUGCUGAAUUCACUACACUAUAGUACAGUAGUUAUCGAGGCUCACAGCUUUAACAGGACCAUAUGUAAAACAGGUUGUUACUUCCUCCUGUGUGUUAUCCUGUAUAUGUUCAAUAAAUAAAUAAAUAGAAUAAUUUUCCAGACAAUUUUAACUUCAAUCUGUGUAUGGUUAAACUAACAAAUAAACAAGUACAUUGGACAUCAAAUGACGUUAUUCAUUCACGCUGAAUUUAGUAAACAAAAGGAUUGAAGCCUAUAUGAACAUUUUGUGACGAUUCAUCAACCUUUGCUGCAGCA